AUUGAACGCUGGCGGCAUGCUUUACACAUGCAAGUCGGACGAGUGGCGAACGGGUGAGUAACGCCUCGGAACGUACCGAGUAAUGGGGGAUAACUGUCCGAAACGACAGCUAAUACCGCAUACCAUCCGAUCGGCCGAUGUCUGAUUAGCUGGUUGGUGGGGUAACGGCCCACCAAGGCGACGAUCCGUAGCGGGUCUGAGAGGAUGACCAGCCACACUGGAACUGAGACACGGCCCAGACUCCGACGGGAGGCAGCAGUGGGGAAUUUUGGACAAUGGGCGCAAGCCUGAUGCAGCCAUGCCGCGUGUCUGAAGAAGGCCUUCGGGUUGUAAAGGACUUUUGGCAGGGAAGCGGUACCUGAAGAAGAAGCACCGGCUAACUACGUGCCAGCAGCCGCGGUAAUAC
This 406-nucleotide ribosomal RNA is filed under the name uncultured bacterium. RNAcentral describes it as "partial 16S ribosomal RNA". It matches the Rfam family "Bacterial small subunit ribosomal RNA", at positions 30 to 526 of the family's 1533-position model. The record is from RNAcentral.